RNAcentral lists this ribosomal RNA (392 nucleotides) under uncultured bacterium. Its description in RNAcentral is "bacterial SSU rRNA". It matches the Rfam family "Bacterial small subunit ribosomal RNA", at positions 28 to 406 of the family's 1533-position model. The record is from RNAcentral.
AACGAACGCUGGCGGCAGGCCUAACACAUGCAAGUCGAGCGGCAGCGGGUCCCCGCGAGGGGAUGCCGGCGAGCGGCGGACGGGUGAGGAACACAUCGGAAUCUGCCUGGUUGUGGGGGAUAACGUAGGGAAACUUACGCUAAUACCGCAUGCGACCCUGAGUCGACGGACUUGGGGUGAAAGUGAGGGACCUUCGGGCCUCACGCGACCAGAUGAGCCGAUGUCGGAUUAGCAGUUGGCGGGGUAACGGCCCGCCAAGGCGACGAUCCGUAGCUGGUCUGAGAGGAUGAUCAGCCACACUGGGACUGAGACACGGCCCAGACUCCUACGGGAGGCAGCAGUGGGGAAUCUUGACAAUGGGCGCAAGCCUGAUCCAGCCAUGCCGCGUGGGU